UACGGGGGGGGUAAGCGUUGUUCGGAAUUACUGGGCGUAAAGCGCACGUAGGCGGACCAGCAAGUUAGGGGUGAAAUCCCGGGGCUCAACCCCGGAACUGCCUUUAAAACUGUUGGUCUGGAGGUCGAGAGAGGUGAGUGGAAUUCCGAGUGUAGAGGUGAAAUUCGUAGAUAUUCGGAAGAACACCAGUGGCGAAGGCGGCUCACUGGCCCGGUACUGACGCUGAUGUGCGAAAGCGUGGGGAGCAAACAGG
RNAcentral lists this ribosomal RNA (253 nucleotides) under uncultured bacterium. RNAcentral's name for it is "partial 16S ribosomal RNA". It matches the Rfam family "Bacterial small subunit ribosomal RNA", at positions 524 to 776 of the family's 1533-position model. The record is from RNAcentral.